Molecule: ribosomal RNA, 460 nt
Filed under: uncultured bacterium
Lineage: Bacteria
Description: partial 16S ribosomal RNA
Rfam family: Bacterial small subunit ribosomal RNA
Source: RNAcentral
CCUACGGGAGGCAGCAGUGAGGAAUAUUGGUCAAUGGACGGAAGUCUGAACCAGCCAUGCCGCGUGCAGGAAGACGGCUCUAUGAGUUGUAAACUGCUUUUGUACAAGGGUAAACCUGAAUACGUGUAUUCAGCUGAAAGUACUGUACGAAUAAGGAUCGGCUAACUCCGUACCCGCAGCCGCGGUAAUACGGCGGAUCCAAGCGUUAUACGGGUUUAUUGGGUUUAAAGGGUUCGGUGGCGGAUUGAUCAGUUAGAGGUGAAAUGUCCGAGCUUAACUCGGGAACUGCCUUUAAUACUGUUGAUCUAGAGAGUAGGUGCGGUAGGCGGAAUGUAUGGUGUAGCGGUGAAAUGCUUAGAGAUCAGACAGAACACCGAUUGCGAAGGCAGCUUACCAAUCUAUAUCUGACGUUGAGGCACGAAAGCGUGGGGAGCAAACAGGAUUAGAUACCCCUGUAGUC